Long non-coding RNA from Onychostoma macrolepis, 923 nucleotides. RefSeq lists it as uncharacterized. NCBI's taxonomy places the organism in Eukaryota, Metazoa, Chordata, Actinopteri, Cypriniformes, Cyprinidae. The record is from RefSeq and is a predicted model, not a curated record. The transcript has 3 exons.
GAUGGCACUCCACUCCUAGUCUUUGGUGAUUUCAACAUUCACCUAGACAAGCCUUAUGCUACAGACUUCCAUGCACUCCUAGCUUCGUUUGAUCUCAAACGCCUUACCACUACUAGCACGCACAAAUCAGGCAACCAACUUGACUUAAUUUACACACGCAAUUGUACUGCAGAUAACAUUCUGGUACAACCGCUACAUACUUCGGACCAUUUCUUCAUUACAUUUACAUUACACUUUGCUUCUCCUGUGCCACCAACCCCCCUACCAGUUACUUUUAGACGAAACCUGCGCUCCCUUUCUCCUUCCCAUCUUUCCUCUGUGGUAUCCUCCUCUCUUCCUUCACCCACCCAUUUCUCAUCUCUGGAUGUAAACGCAGCUACUGAGACUUUAUGCUCUACCUUAACCUCUUGUCUAGACGACAUUUGUCCUCUCUCCUCUAGGCCCGCACGGGCUGCUCCUUCCAACCCCUGGUUAUCCGAGGUUCUUCGUGAACAUCGGACUACACUCAGAGCGGCAGAGAGAAAAUGGCGCAAAUCAAACGAUCUGUCGGACCUCAAACGACAAACUGGAUGCUAAACAGUCAGGUUUCAGGAGGGGCCAUUCAACUGAGACUGCGCUUCUCUCGGUCACUGAAGCCCUGCGAAUUGCAAAAGCCCAUUCCAAAUCAUCAGUCCUCAUUCUGCUGGACCUAUCUGCCGCUUUUGACACUGUCAAUCAUCAGAUACUCCUGUCCACCCUCUCAUCACUGGGCAUCUCUGGCAUUCCACUUCGCUGGUUUGAAUCCUAUCUCACUGAUGAUCCAACGGUAACUGCAAGGAUCUCAGGUUGCCUGGCGGACAUCUCGGCAUGGAUGAAAGAACAUCACCUGCAGCUCAACCUGGCAAAGACUGAGCUUCUUGUCCUCCCUGCCACUCCGACUCUAC